UGUGGACCAUGUCUUGCAUUUGGAUUGAGACACGUACAAACCUUAUCGAUAAACAAUUUGGAGGGCAAGUCUGGUGCCAGCAGCCGCGGUAAUUCCAGCUCCAAUAGCGUAUAUUAACGUUGUUGCAGUUAAAAAGCUCGUAGUUGAAAUGAAGGGUAGUUGUGUAAUGAAUACAUUCGUGUAUUUUGUUAUUCUACUACCCUCCUUCUAAAUUCGAUAUAUGAGUAUUAAUUUACUUGUAUAUGGUUUUAGACCUUUACUGUGAGAAAAUUAGAGUGUUCAAAGCAGGCAUUUGCUUGAAUAUAUUAGCAUGGAAUAAUCAUGUAUGAUUUUCAUGAUGUAUUUGAUUGGUUUGGUUCAUGAGAAUAAGAUUAAAAGGGACAGUUGGGGGUAUUCAUAUUCAAUAGUCAGAGGUGAAAUUCUCGGAUUUAUGGAAGAUGAACAGGGGGGAAAAGAAAA
Molecule: ribosomal RNA, 459 nt
Filed under: Blastocystis sp.
Lineage: Eukaryota; Bigyra; Opalinata; Blastocystidae
Description: SSU rRNA
Rfam family: Eukaryotic small subunit ribosomal RNA
Source: RNAcentral